AUGACAAGAGCAUCAUUGCCAUCACCACCAACACAACGAAGAGCAACCUACGACAAGCUAAAGUUCAACAUGCCAAAGUUCUCCGAAAGCAACGAUCCCGAAUUACCUUUAAUGGGCAUUGAAGGUCGACAAGAUCUUUCUCUACACAACUAUGAAGAAGGGAAGGAAAUUGCCAUGGCAUCGCUUGAGUUCCAAGACUAUGUCCUCAUUUGGUGGGACCAAGUCAUUGAGCGACGAGAAGCAAAAGAUGACCCACCCAUCACAACAUGGAACCAAAUUAAGGAUGUCAUGCAAGCGUGCUUUGUGCCUACAUAUUAUAGCCUAGAUCUCUUCAAAAAGUUGCAACUCCUCAAGCAAGGCAUGAAGUCCGUUGAAGAGUAUUACAAGGAGAUGAAAAUCGCCAUGAUCUGA
This 411-nucleotide ribosomal RNA is filed under the name Triticum aestivum (bread wheat). Its description in RNAcentral is "partial small subunit ribosomal RNA". Lineage: Eukaryota; Viridiplantae; Streptophyta; Magnoliopsida; Poales; Poaceae. The record is from RNAcentral.